CCUACGGGAGGCUACAGUGGGGAAUAUUGGGCAAUGGGCACAAGCCUGACCCAGCAACGCCGCGUGAAGGAAGAAGGCUUUCGGGUUGUAAACUUCUUUUCUGAGGGACGAAGUAAGUGACGGUACCUCAGGAAUAAGCCACGGCUAACUACGUGCCAGCAGCCGCCGUAAUACGUAGGUGGCAAGCGUUAUCCGGAUUUCUUGGGUGUAAAGGGCUGGUAGGCGGGAAAGCAAGUCAGAUGUGAAAACUCAGGGCUCAACCCUGAGCCUGCAUUUGAAACUGUGUUUCUUGAGUGCUGGAGAGGCAAUCGGAAUUCCGUGUGUAGCGGUGAAAUGCGUAGAUAUACGGAGGAACACCAGUGGCGAAGGCAGAUUGCUGGACAGUAACUGACGCUGAGGCGCGAAAGCGUGGGGAGCAAACAGGAUUAGAUACCCCAGUAGUC
Molecule: ribosomal RNA, 443 nt
Filed under: uncultured bacterium
Lineage: Bacteria
Description: partial 16S ribosomal RNA
Rfam family: Bacterial small subunit ribosomal RNA
Source: RNAcentral